RNAcentral lists this ribosomal RNA (574 nucleotides) under Saccharomyces cerevisiae (brewer's yeast). RNAcentral describes it as "eukaryotic LSU rRNA". It matches the Rfam family "Eukaryotic large subunit ribosomal RNA", at positions 80 to 668 of the family's 3401-position model. Lineage: Eukaryota; Fungi; Ascomycota; Saccharomycetes; Saccharomycetales; Saccharomycetaceae. The record is from RNAcentral.
UUAGUAACGGCGAGUGAAGCGGCAAAAGCUCAAAUUUGAAAUCUGGUACCUUCGGUGCCCGAGUUGUAAUUUGGAGAGGGCAACUUUGGGGCCGUUCCUUGUCUAUGUUCCUUGGAACAGGACGUCAUAGAGGGUGAGAAUCCCGUGUGGCGAGGAGUGCGGUUCUUUGUAAAGUGCCUUCGAAGAGUCGAGUUGUUUGGGAAUGCAGCUCUAAGUGGGUGGUAAAUUCCAUCUAAAGCUAAAUAUUGGCGAGAGACCGAUAGCGAACAAGUACAGUGAUGGAAAGAUGAAAAGAACUUUGAAAAGAGAGUGAAAAAGUACGUGAAAUUGUUGAAAGGGAAGGGCAUUUGAUCAGACAUGGUGUUUUGUGCCCUCUGCUCCUUGUGGGUAGGGGAAUCUCGCAUUUCACUGGGCCAGCAUCAGUUUUGGUGGCAGGAUAAAUCCAUAGGAAUGUAGCUUGCCUCGGUAAGUAUUAUAGCCUGUGGGAAUACUGCCAGCUGGGACUGAGGACUGCGACGUAAGUCAAGGAUGCUGGCAUAAUGGUUAUAUGCCGCCCGUCUUGAAACACGGACCA